AUGUCUGUAAAGCACAGUUUCACUUUCCAAAGCAGAGGGAGCAAACAUGCACUGAAAAGUCCACCAGCAGCUUGGUAACUCUGAGUGUGUUCAGCUCAUGAUAGAUGUAGGAGCUCUGAUGGAGGCCCAUGACUGCCACUUUGUCCCAAAUAUAUUGACAUAGUAAAAUAAAUGUGUGUAAAAAAAUAAAUAAAGGAUAUUUCAUGUUGAAUUCCAUUAAUACUGUAUAUGUAUGUGGCCAAAUGCAAGACUAUUAAGUUUAUAAGUGUGAAAUUGUCUUCUUUUGCAUGGUCUCUGCAUGAUUGUACUGUUGAAAAUGUGGGUGUUACAGGUGUCAAGUACACCCCUUCAAUGAAUAUCUGCAGGUUAUCAUAUUCAAUCAUGUUAAUACUUUUUACCCUUCAAUUUUUUGCUUUACUAAAGUUACAUUUGAUAUAUGUUGGAAAAGAAAAAGUGCCAUAUUCAGUACUUUUUGAGGAUGAGAAAUUCAAAACUAUGACAAACUGUCACAUGAAACGCUCUGUUUGAGAAGAAUGAGAAAGGAACGUCUUGUCUGAUGGUAUGGAUGUGGCCAUGGAAGUAGGGUCUUACCAUGGUUAGAACAGUUGCACAUGUAAGCAUGGUUUAAAGGUCACUGUCAGCGUCCGAGCAUACUUACACACACAGACCAGAGUACUUCCUCUUUCUUCACAUUAGAUGACUUCUGUUCCCUCUCCACCAGUGACAGCUGUGACGCAUGCACAAACACAGAAAAUGUGCGAUUGUUUAUACUGAUCUAAAACGAUGCAUGGGUAUAUCUUUUGUUUGUGUCUAUUAUAUUCAGAAGCUGAGCUAAGGUGUCAAAGAAAUUGGACUUUGCUUGGGAAUUAAACUCAUACAAUGUGUGACUGUCGCUAUCAAUUGAUCUAUUAAUUUUCGGUAAAAGAGAAUAUGUGUAAUAAAAUUGAGUGUUCAUAUACAUUUUCAUAAUAAAACAUUUGGUAGUGGAAUUGGGGAAAUCGGGUCUAGACUUUAAUAUCCAUUAUUAUUUUUAUCAUUAUCAUUAAAUAGCCUACCUAAAAUAUGUAAUGAGUCUUAUUAAACUAUGUAGAAUUGCAGGAUAUUAGCUGAAAAACAACAAUUUUCUUAGGUACAGUAGCAGUCAAAAGUUUGGGCACACCUACUCAUUCAAUUUUUUUUUUUUUUUUUUACUAUUUUCAACAUUGUAGAAUAGUACUAAAGACAUCAAAACUAUGAAAUAACACACAUGGGAAUCAGGUAUUAACCAAAAAAACACAUCAAAAUACAUUUGAGAUUCUUCAAAGUAGGCACCCUUUGCUUUGAUGACAGCUUUGCACACUCUUCGCAUUCUCUCAACCAGAUUCACCUGGAAUGCUUUUCCAACAGUCUUAGAGGAGUUCCCACAUAUGCUGAGCACUUGUUGGCUGCUUUUCCUUCACUCUGCGGUCCAACUCAUCCCAAACCAUCACAAUUGGGUUGAGGUCGGGUGAUUAUGCAGGCCAGGUCAUCUGAUGCAGCACUUCAUCACUCUCCUUAUUGGUCAACUAGCCCUUACACAGCCUGGAUGUGUGUUGAGUCAUUGUCCCGUUGAAAAACAAAUCAUAGUCCCAACAAUAACGCAAACCAGAUGGGAUGGCAUAUCACUGCAGAAUUCUGUGGUAGCCAUGUUGGUUAAGUGUGCCUUGAAUUUGAAAUAAAUCACUGACAGUGUCACCAGCAAAGCACCAUCACACCUCCUCCUUGCUGGGUGGGAACCACACACGUGGAGAUCAUCCGUUCACCUACUCUGCAUCUAACAAAGACACAGCGGUAGUAACCAAACAUCUCACAUUUGGACUCAUCAGACCAAAGGACAGAUUUCCACCAGUCUAAUGUCCAUUGCUCGUGUUUCUUGGCCCAAGCAAGUCUCUUCUUAUUAUUGGUGUCCUUUAGUAGUGGUUUCUUUGCAGCAAUUUGACCAUGAAUCUGUGAUUCACGCAGUCUCCUCUGAACAGUUGAUGUUGAGAUGUGUCUGUUACUUGACCGCUGUGAAGCAUUUAUUUGGGCUGCAAUUUCUGAGGCUGAUUGGUUGGAAUUGAGAGAGGCAAUUGACAGGUCUGAAGGCUAGUCAGGUUCUGUGUAUUCAAAUGAUUUAUUUUAAAAACGUACAUAAUUCCAUAGUUCCUUUUUUGUCAGGGACCAUGUAUAUGGAACAAAAAUAUAAACGUAACAUGCAAAGUGUUGGUCCCACGUUUCAUGAGCUGUAAUAAAAGAUUCCAGACAUUUUUAAUACGCACAAAAAGCUUAUUUCUCUCAAAGUUUGUGCACAAAUUUGUUUACAUCCCUGUUAGUGAGCAUGUCUCCAAGAUGAUAUGCCACACCUGUCAGGUGGAUGGAUUAAGAAGCUGAUUAAACACUUUGAUCAUUACACAGGUGCACCUUGUGCUGGAGACAAUAAAAUGCCACUCUAAAAUAUGUAGUUUUGUCACACAACUCAAUGCCACAGAUGUCUCAAGUUUUGAAGGAGUGUGCAUUUGGUAUGCUGACUGAAGGAAUGUCCACCAGAGCUGUUGCCAGAUAAUUUUAUGUUAAUUUCUCUACCAUAAGCCGCCUCCAAUGUCGUUUUAGAGAAUUUGGCAGUACAUCCAACCGGCCUCAAAACCACAAACCACAUUUAACCACGUCAGCCCAGGACCUCCACAUCCAGCUUCUUCACCUGUGGGUUUGCACAACCGAAGAAUUUCUGCACAAACUGUCAGAGACCGUCUCAAGGAAGAUCGUCUGCGUGCUCGUCGUCCUUACCAGGGUCUUGGCCUGACUUCCAUGUGUUAUUUCAUAGUUUUGAUGUUUUCAUUAUUAUUCUACAAUGUAGAAAAUAGUAAAAAUAAUGAAAAAACCUGGAAUAAGUAGGUGUGUCCAAACUUUGGACUGGUACUGUACGUCGAGUUAAACAAAAUAAUACAAUUAAUAAAAGCAUUACAUUUUUCAAAUGUGAAAAAGGUGGUCAAGAUGUGUUGGUAUCUGUACUGAUGGCGCAAAAACCAUGACAGGGAGACAUAGUGGAGUGGUAACUCGCAGUGCAAGAAGUUGCUCCCGACGCCACUUGAGUACACUGCAGCAUCCACCGAGAGGCUCUUGCUGCCAAAGAAUGCCUGACAGCUUGAAAGACGUUUUGGACACAACAGUGAAAAUGGUUAACUUUGUUAAAGCAAGGCCCCUGAACUCUCGUGUAUUUUCUGCAUGAUGACGAGUUUCUCACAUGAUUGGCCUAUCUGGGUGAUGUUUUUUCUCACCUGAAUGAUCAGAAUCUAGGAUUACAGGGACUCUCCACAACUAUAUUCAAUGUGCAGGACAAAAUUGAGGCUAUGAUUAAGAAGUUGGAGCUCUUUUCUGUCUGCAUUAACAAGGACAACAACACACAGGUCUUUCUAUCAUUGUAUUAUUUUUUUGUGUGCAAAUGAACUCAAGCUUACGGACAAUGUCAAAUGUGAUAUAGCGAAGCACCUGAAGUGAGCUGGGUGCACAAGCAGGUACUUUCCCAAAACGGAUGACAAACAACUGGAUUCGUUAUUCCUUUCAUUCUCUGCGUAAUUCAUGUCAAUUUACCGAUAUCUGAACAUGAGAGCAUUAUCGAAAUUGCAACAAGCGGUUCUGUGAAAAUUUAAUUUAAUCAGCAGCCACUGCCAGAUUUCUGGAUUGGGCUGCGCUCAGAGUUUCUUGCCUUGGCAAAUUGCGUUGUUAAGACACUGAUGCCCUUUGCAACCACGUACCUAUGUGAGAGUGGAUUCUCGGCCCUGACUAGCAUGAAAAUUAAAUACAGGCACAGACUGUGGAAAAUUAUUUAAGACUGAGACGCUCUCAAAAAACGACAUUUGAGAGUGCGCUGACCCUGGUGCUAGAGGGGGUACGCAGCUGGAGGUUGAAUGUUUGAAGGAGUACGGAACUAUAAAAAGUUUGGGAACCACUGCUCUACAAUAAGCCACCUCCAAUGUCAUUUUAGAGAAUUUCGUAAUACAUCCAACUGGCCUCACAACCGCAGACUGCUGGUUUCAACAUUGUGAACAGAGUGCCCCCAUGGUGGCGGAGGGGUUAUGGUAUGGGCAGGCAUAAACUAUAGGCAACGAACACAUUUCCGUUUUAUCGAUGGGAUUUUGAAUGCACAGAAAUAACGUGACGAGAUCCGGAGACCCAUUGUGAGUGUAACGGAUGUGAAAUGGCUAGCUAGUUAGCGGUGUUCGCGCUAAAUAGCGUUUCAAUCGGUGACGUCACUUGCCCUGAGGCCUUGAAGUAGUAGUUCCCCUUGCUCUGCAAGGGCCGCUGCUUUUGUGGAGCGAUUGGGUAACGAUGCUUCGAGGGUGACUAUUGAUGUGUGCAGAGGGUCCCUGGUUCGCGCCCGGGUAUGGGCGAGGGGACGGUCUAAAGUUAUACUGUUACAUGAGGGCCAUUUUUUUAAAAGGUAUCUGUGACCAAUAGAUGUGUAACGCAUGUGAAACGGCUAGCUUAGUUAGCGGUGCGCGCUAAAAAGCGUUUCAAUCGGUGACGUCACUUGCUCUGAGACCUUGAAGUAGUAGUUCCCCUUGCUCUGCAAGAGCCGCAGCUUUUGUGGAGCGAUGGGUAACGAUGCUUCGUGGGUGACUGUUGUUGAUGUGUGCUGAGGGUCCCUGGUUCGCGCCCGGGUAAGGGCGAGGGGACGGUCUAAAGUUAUACUGUUACAGAUGCAUAUCUGUAUUCCCAGUCAUGUGAUAGAUUAGGGCCUCAUUCUUUAAAUUGACUGAUUUCCUCAUAUGAACUGUAACUCAGUAAAAUCGUUGAAAUUGUUGCAUGUUGCGUUUGUAUUUGUGAUAUGUUACGUUUGGUAUGGUUACUUUAAGACAGAUGGUUACUUGUAGGGUGGUUGAUUGAGCCUAUAACGCACACUUCUAGCAACCAAUGGUUUUCAAGUUCGAAUCUCAUGGACAACUUUAGCAUUUUAGCAACUUUUCAUCUACUUACUACUUUUUUAGCUACUUUGCAACUACUUAGCUAACAUACUAACCCUUCCCCAAAUCCUUUUAGCUAAUCCUUCCCCUAAUCUUAACUCUUUUAGCUAACUCUGCCCUUAAUCCUUUAACCUAACUCCUAAACUUAACCCUAACCUUAACCCCUAGCCUAGCAAACAUUAGCCAGCUAGCUAACGUUAGCCACCUAACUAGAAUUUGUAACAUAUCAUACGUUUUGCAAAUUCGUAACAUAAUGUACGUCUUGCAAAUUCGUAGCAUAUAAUACGAAUUGUAAUUUGUUACGUAUCAUCCACAAAUGAAUACAUACCAUACAAAAUGUCUCACAUACAGAUACAGUUGAAGUCAGAAGUUUACAUACACUUAUGUUUGAGUCAUUAAAACUCGCUUUUCAACAACUCCACAAAUUUCUUGUUAACAAACUAUAGUUUUGGCAAGUCGGUUAGGGCAUCUACUUUGUGCAUGACACAAGUAAUUUUUCCAACAAUUGUUUACAGACAGAUUAUUUCACUUAUAAUUCACUGUAUCACAAUUCCAGUGGGUCAGAAGAUUACAUACACUAAGUUGACUGUGACUUUAAACAGCUUGGAAAAUUCCAGAAAAUGAUGUCAUGGCUUUAGAAGCGUCUGAUAGGCUAAUUCACAUCAUUUGAGUCAAUUGGAGGUGUACCUGUGGAUGUAUUUCAAGGCUUACCUUCAAACACAGUGCCUCUUUGCUUGACAUCAUGGGAAAAUCAAAAGAAAUCAGCCGCCAAGACCUCAGAAAAACAAUUGUAGACCUCCACAAGUCUGGUUCAAUUUCCAAAUGCCUGAAGGUACCACGUUCAUCUGUACAAACAAUAGUGCGCAAGUAUAAACACCAUGGGAUCACGCAGCCGUCAAACCGCUCAGGAAGGAGAUGCGUUCUGUCUCCUAGUGAUGAACGUACUUUGGUGCGAAAAGUGCAAAUCAAUCCCAGAACAACAGCCAAAGGACCUUGUGAAGAUGCUGGAGGAAACAGGUACAAAAUUAUCUAUAUCCACAGUACAACGAGUCCCAUAUCGACAGCACCUGAAAGGCCGCUCAGCAAGGAAGAAGCCACUGCUCCAAAACCUUCAUAAAGAAAACCAGACUACAGUUUGCAACUGCACAUGGGGACAAAGAUCGUUAUUUUUGGAGAAAAGUCCUCUGGUCUGAUGAAACAAAAAAUUGAACUGUUUGGCCAUAAUGACCAUUGUUAUGUUGCAAGACGAAGAACACCAUCCCAACCGUGAAGCACGGGGGUGGCAGCAUCAUGUUGUGGGGGUGCUUUGCUGCAGGAAGGACUGGUGCACUUCACAAAAUAGAUGGCUUCACGAGGAAGGAAAAUUACGUGGAAAUAUUGAAGCAACAUCCCAAGACAUCAGUCAGGAAGUUAAAGCUUGGUCGCAAAUGGGUCUUCCAAAUGGACAAUGACCCCAAGCAUACUUCCAAAGUUGUGGCAAAAUGGCAUAAGGACAACAAAGUCAAAGUAUUGGAGUGGCCAUCACACAGCCCUGACCUCAAUCCUAUAGAAAAUGUGUAGGUAGAACUGAAAAAGCAUGUGCGAGCAAGGAGGCCUACAAACCCAACUCAGUUAUACCAGCUCUGUCAGGAGGAAUGGGCCCAAAUUCACCCAACUUAUUGUGAGAAGCUUGUGGAAGGCUACCUGAAAUGUUUAAGUUAAACAAUUAAAGGCAAUGCUACCAAAUACUAAUUAAGUGUAUGUAAACUUCUGACCCACUGGGAAUGUGAUGAAAGAAAUACAACUGAAAUAAAUAAUUCUCUCUACUAUUAUUCUGACAUUUCACAUUAUUACAAUAAAGUGGUGACCUAACUGACCUAAGACAGUGUAUUUUUAAAUAGGAUUAAAUGUCAGGAAUGUGAAAAACUGAGCAUAAAUGUAUUUGGCUAAGGUGUUUUUUAAACUUCCGACUUCAAUUAUAUCUAGUUUGAUCUGUGAAGAUGGUCACUCAGUCGAGCAGCGUAAGAAAGAAAGGAAAUGCACAAGGAGACGAUCACCUUUCUAUAGAAAGAGGGAACUAUUAUGGAUGCUCAUAGGAACCUUGCUGCCUGCCUCUUAACCAAACCAAAAGCCAAUAGCCCUUGCUAACCAUGAAACAUCUGGUCAUGUUGGGGCCAGGAAGAAAGUUUAAGAACUGGACACGCACUGAGGAAGGUACAAGCUGAAAUAUGUCCGUGCAGUGUAUUAAGACAUUUUGUUACUAUGAAUUUAAGAAAAUAAACACAAACUGCAAAUCA
Molecule: long non-coding RNA, 7234 nt
Organism: Oncorhynchus nerka (sockeye salmon)
Lineage: Eukaryota; Metazoa; Chordata; Actinopteri; Salmoniformes; Salmonidae
Exons: 2
Source: RefSeq, a predicted model, not a curated record